GGGUCCUGAGAGGGAGAUCCCCCACACUGGUACUGAGACACGGACCAGACUCCUACGGGAGGCAGCAGUGAGGAAUAUUGGACAAUGGGCGCAAGCCUGAUCCAGCCAUGCCGCGUGCAGGAUGACGGUCCUAUGGAUUGUAAACUGCUUUUAUACGAGAAGAAACACUCCUUCGUGAAGGAGCUUGACGGUAUCGUAAGAAUAAGGAUCGGCUAACUCCGUGCCAGCAGCCGCGGUAAUACGGAGGAUCCAAGCGUUAUCCGGAAUCAUUGGGUUUAAAGGGUCCGUAGGCGGUUUAGUAAGUCAGUGGUGAAAGCCCAUCGCUCAACGGUGGAACGGCCAUUGAUACUGCUAGACUUGAAUUAUUAGGAAGUAACUAGAAUAUGUAGUGUAGCGGUGAAAUGCUUAGAGAUUACAUGGAAUACCAAUUGCGAAGGCAGGUUACUACUAAUAUAUUGACGCUGAUGGACGAAAGCGUGGGUAGCGAACAGGAUUAGAUACCCUGGUAGUCCACGCCGUACACGAUGGAUACUAGCUGUUGGGAGCAAUCUCAGUGGCUAAGCGAAAGUGAUAAGUAUCCCACCUGGGGAGUACGAACGCAAGUUUGAAACUCAAAGGAAUUGACGGGGGCCCGCACAAGCGGUGGAGCAUGUGGUUUAAUUCGAUGAUACGCGAGGAACCUUACCAAGGCUUAAAUGUAGAUUGACCGGUUUGGAAACAGACUUUUCGCAAGACAAUUUACAAGGUGCUGCAUGGUUGUCGUCAGCUCGUGCCGUGAGGUGUCAGGUUAAGUCCUAUAAC
Molecule: ribosomal RNA, 801 nt
Filed under: Flavobacterium sp.
Lineage: Bacteria; Pseudomonadati; Bacteroidota; Flavobacteriia; Flavobacteriales; Flavobacteriaceae
Description: bacterial SSU rRNA
Rfam family: Bacterial small subunit ribosomal RNA
Source: RNAcentral